This 411-nucleotide long non-coding RNA is filed under the name Mytilus galloprovincialis (Mediterranean mussel). Lineage: Eukaryota; Metazoa; Mollusca; Bivalvia; Mytilida; Mytilidae. The record is from RNAcentral.
UUUUCGUAAAUUAAAGUAAUCUUUUACAAAAAUCUUCUCCUCUGAAACUACUGGGCCAAACUAAUCCAAACUUGGCCACAAUCAUCUUUGGGGUAUCUAGUUUAAAAAAAUGUGUGGCAUGACUUGGUCAACCAACUAAGAUGGCCGCCACGGCUAAAAAUAGAACAUAGGGGUAAAAUGCAGUUUUUGGCUUAUAACUAUGAAACCAAAGCAUUUAGAGCAAAUCUGACAAGAAGUUAAAUUGUUAAUCAAGUCAAUAUCUAUCUGCCCUGAAUUUUUCAGAUGAAUUGGACAACUGGUUGUUGGGUUGAUGCCCUCCAAAUGGUAAUUUUUAAAGAAAUUUUGCCGUUUUUGGUUAUCUUGAAUACUAUUAUAGAUAGCGAUAAACUGUAAACAGCAAUAAUGUUCAGC